Molecule: long non-coding RNA, 271 nt
Filed under: Coffea arabica (coffee)
Lineage: Eukaryota; Viridiplantae; Streptophyta; Magnoliopsida; Gentianales; Rubiaceae
Description: long non-coding RNA (CARA_LNC006329)
Source: RNAcentral
GGGGGAGAGAGGAUAAAAUUAAAAAAGGAGAGAUGAUAUGUAAAGGAAAGAGAAAAGGCUGUGGCUAGCCAUUGGUGAAAGAUGAAUGUGUUGUUUCUUGUUAGGAACAAUUGCAGUGGUAGUUGGGCUUUGGUGGGUAUUUUUUAAGGGGAGUGAAAAUGCAUCAAUUGGACAAGAUUUUUCAUAAAUAAAUGGUGGGGCUACCAAGUCCAAAAAGCGCAUAAAAUGCAUUUUUCUAAAAAAAAUGCGAUCCAAACAUGGCCUUUGUGAC